Molecule: ribosomal RNA, 464 nt
Filed under: uncultured bacterium
Lineage: Bacteria
Description: partial 16S ribosomal RNA
Rfam family: Bacterial small subunit ribosomal RNA
Source: RNAcentral
GACGAACGCUGGCGGCGUGCUUAACACAUGCAAGUCGAACGGAAAGGCCCCUUUGGGGGUCCUCGAGUGGCGAACGGUUGAGUAACACGUGAGUAACCUGCCCUUUACUUCGGGAUAACUUCAGGAAACUGGGGCUAAUACCGGAUAGGAAUCCUUGCUGCAUGGUGGGGGUUGGAAAGCUUCGGCGGUUUUGGAUGGACUCUCGGCUUAUUAGCUUGUUGGUGGGGUAGUGGCUUACCAAGGCUUUGACGGGUAGCCGGCCUGAGAGGGCGACCGGCCACAUUGGGACUGAGAUACGGCCCAGACUCCUACGGGAGGCAGCAGUGGGGAAUAUUGCACAAGGGGCGGAAGCCUGAUGCAGCAACGCCGCGUGCGGGAUGACGGCCUUCGGGUUGUAAACCGCUUUCAGCAGGGGCGAAGCUUGUGGUGACGGUACCAGCAGAAGAAGCACCGGCUAACUACGU